UUCACAGCAGAAAUCUGUACCCGGUUUCUGUUUUCAUCCUUAGUCGAGCAUUUGGUUAGACUUACCAGGUUCACUGUGGGCUUCCCAUCACCAGUAUUCACCCUCCCUUGGCCUCUGGGGGCUUAGGAGAUGAUACGCACAGCCGUGGUGGUCUGGUGCACUAGAUGUGCUUGUGGAGACACGCUACAACC
RNAcentral lists this long non-coding RNA (191 nucleotides) under Dromaius novaehollandiae (emu). Its description in RNAcentral is "lncRNA (ENSDNVG00000007144.1)". Lineage: Eukaryota; Metazoa; Chordata; Aves; Casuariiformes; Dromaiidae. The record is from RNAcentral.